RNAcentral lists this transfer RNA (62 nucleotides) under Magadhaideus sp. n. SX-2018. Its description in RNAcentral is "tRNA-Asp". The record is from RNAcentral. Lineage: Eukaryota; Metazoa; Arthropoda; Insecta; Hemiptera; Achilidae.
AAGGAGUUAGUUUAAAAAAAACAUUUGUAUGUCAAAUAAAAAUUAUAAAAAUAUACACCUUG